RNAcentral lists this ribosomal RNA (480 nucleotides) under uncultured bacterium. Its description in RNAcentral is "partial 16S ribosomal RNA". It matches the Rfam family "Bacterial small subunit ribosomal RNA", at positions 30 to 507 of the family's 1533-position model. The record is from RNAcentral.
CGAACGCUGGCGGCGUGCUUAACACAUGCAAGUCGAACGCUGAAGCUCAGCUUGCUGGGUGGAUGAGUGGCGAACGGGUGAGUAACACGUGAGUAACCUGCCCUCUUCUUUGGGAUAACGCCCGGAAACGGGUGCUAAUACUGGAUAUUCACUGAUUCUCGCAUGGGGGUUGGUGGAAAGGUUUUUUCUGGUGGGGGAUGGGCUCGCGGCCUAUCAGCUUGUUGGUGGGGUGAUGGCCUACCAAGGCUUUGACGGGUAGCCGGCCUGAGAGGGUGACCGGUCACAUUGGGACUGAGAUACGGCCCAGACUCCUACGGGAGGCAGCAGUGGGGAAUAUUGCACAAUGGGCGAAAGCCUGAUGCAGCGACGCCGCGUGAGGGAUGGAGGCCUUCGGGUUGUAAACCUCUUUCGCUCAUGGUCAAGCCGCAGCUUUGGGUUGUGGUGAGGGUAGUGGGUAAAGAAGCGCCGGCUAACUACGUG